Molecule: ribosomal RNA, 659 nt
Filed under: uncultured bacterium
Lineage: Bacteria
Description: bacterial SSU rRNA
Rfam family: Bacterial small subunit ribosomal RNA
Source: RNAcentral
UGGUAGUNCACGCCGUAAACGAUGAGUGCUAGGUGUUAGGCCCUUUCCGGGGCUUAGUGCCGGAGCUAACGCAAUAAGCACUCCGCCUGGGGAGUACGACCGCAAGGUUGAAACUCAAAGGAAUUGACGGGGGCCCGCACAAGCGGUGGAGCAUGUGGUUUAAUUCGAAGCAACGCGAAGAACCUUACCAGGUCUUGACAUCCCGAUGCUAUUCUUAGAGAUAGGAAGUUACUUCGGUACAUCGGAGACAGGUGGUGCAUGGUUGUCGUCAGCUCGUGUCGUGAGAUGUUGGGUUAAGUCCCGCAACGAGCGCAACCCUUAUUGUUAGUUGCCAUCAUUAAGUUGGGCACUCUAGCGAGACUGCCGGUAAUAAACCGGAGGAAGGUGGGGAUGACGUCAAAUCAUCAUGCCCCUUAUGACCUGGGCUACACACGUGCUACAAUGGUCGGUACAACGAGUUGCGAGCCGGUGACGGCAAGCUAAUCUCUGAAAGCCGAUAUCAGUUCGGAUUGGAGGCUGCAACUCGCCUCCAUGAAGUCGGAAUCGCUAGUAAUCGCGGAUCAGCACGCCGCGGUGAAUACGUUCCCGGGCCUUGUACACACCGCCCGUCACACCACGAGAGUUUGUAACACCCGAAGUCGGUGAGGUANCCUUUUAGG